GUGGGGAAUAUUGCACAAUGGGCGCAAGCCUGAUGCAGCAACGCCGCGUGGGGGAUGACGGCCUUCGGGUUGUAAACCUCUUUUAGUAGGGAAGAAGCGAAAGUGACGGUACCUGCAGAAAAAGCACCGGCUAACUACGUGCCAGCAGCCGCGGUAAUACGUAUGGUGCAAGCGUUGUCCGGAAUUAUUGGGCGUAAAGAGCUCGUAGGCGGUUUGGCGCGUCUGCUGUGAAAUCCCGAGGCUAAACCUCGGGCCUGCAGUGGGUACGGGCAGACUAGAGUGCGGUAGGGGAGAUUGGAAUUCCUGGUGUAGCGGUGGAAUGCGCAAAUAUCAGGAGGAACACCGAUGGCGAAGGCAGAUCUCUGGGCCGCUACUGACGCUGAGGAGCGAAAGCAUGGGGAGCGAACAGGAUUAGAAACCCGGGUAGUCC
This 430-nucleotide ribosomal RNA is filed under the name uncultured bacterium. RNAcentral's name for it is "partial 16S ribosomal RNA". It matches the Rfam family "Bacterial small subunit ribosomal RNA", at positions 354 to 796 of the family's 1533-position model. The record is from RNAcentral.